Mastomys coucha (southern multimammate mouse) is the source of this 861-nucleotide RNA transcript. It is a transcript of the gene named casein kinase II subunit beta pseudogene, with no coding region annotated. The transcript has a single exon. Lineage: Eukaryota; Metazoa; Chordata; Mammalia; Rodentia; Muridae. The record is from RefSeq and is a predicted model, not a curated record.
UGUAGCGGUCUCUGCCGUUCCUUGGAAGCACAGCUCCCCUUCCCCGCCCGUCCCAGUCCCCGUCCGGCCGCGGACAUAAAGAUGAGUAGCUCUGAGGAGGUGCCCUGGAUUUCCUGGUUCUGUGGGCUCCGUGGUAAUGAAUUCUUCUGUGAGGUGGAUGAAGACUACAUCCAGGACAAAUUCAAUCUUUCUGGACUCAAUGAGCAGGUGCUUCACUAUCGACAAGCUCUAGACAUGAUCUUGGACCUGGAACCUGAUGAAGAGCUGGAAGACAACCCCAACCAGAGCGACUUGAUUGAACAGGCAGCCGAGAUGCUUUACGGGUUGAUCUACGCCCGCUACAUCCUCACCAACCGAGGCAUCGCACAAAUGUUGGAAAAGUACCAGCAGGGAGACUUCGGCUACUGUCCUCGUGUGUACUGUGAGAACCAGCCGAUGCUUCCCAUCGGCCUUUCAGACAUCCCCGGUGAGGCCAUGGUGAAGCUCUACUGCCCCAAGUGCAUGGAUGUGUACACCCCCAAGUCCUCCAGGCACCACCACACGGAUGGCGCAUACUUCGGCACUGGUUUCUCUCACAUGCUCUUCAUGGUGCAUCCAGAGUACCGGCCCAAGCGAUCUGCCAACCAACUCGUACCCAGGCUCUACGGCUUCAAGAUCCAUCCCAUGGCUUACCAGCUGCAGCUCCAAGCCGCCAGCAACUUCAAGAGCCCAGUCAAGACUAUUCGCUGAUUGCCCACCCACCUCUCCCUGUCUGUGACACCACCAUUCCUCCGCUGCCAUCCUUUCAGGAAGUCUAUGGUUUUUAGUUUAAAUUGAAGGAAUUGUUACUGUGGUGGGAAUGUGAAAUAAAGGAAGAAAAGG